UACGUAGGGGGCAAGCGUUAUCCGGAUUUACUGGGUGUAAAGGGAGCGUAGACGGUACGCCAAGUCUGAAGUGAAAUGCCGCAGCUUAACUGCGGAACUGCUUUGGAAACUGGCGGGCUAGAGUGCGGGAGGGGUAUGCGGAAUGCGCAGUGUAGCGGUGAAAUGCUUAGAUAUUGCGCAGAACUCCGAUUGCGAAGGCAGCAUACCGGCGGCGAUCUGACGCUGAGGCACGAAAGCGUGGGUAUCGAACAGG
RNAcentral lists this ribosomal RNA (253 nucleotides) under uncultured bacterium. RNAcentral describes it as "partial 16S ribosomal RNA". It matches the Rfam family "Bacterial small subunit ribosomal RNA", at positions 524 to 776 of the family's 1533-position model. The record is from RNAcentral.